GCUCAGGAUGAACGCUGGCGGCGUGCCUAAUACAUGCAAGUCGAGCGAACAGAUAAGGAGCUUGCUCCUUUGACGUUAGCGGCGGACGGGUGAGUAACACGUGGGUAACCUACCUAUAAGACUGGAAUAACUCCGGGAAACCGGGGCUAAUGCUGGAUAAUAUUUAGAACCGCAUGGUUCUAAAGUGAAAGAUGGUUUUGCUAUCACUUAUAGAUGGACCCGCGCCGUAUUAGCUAGUUGGUGGGGUAAUGGCUUACCAAGGCAACGAUACGUAGCCGACCUGAGAGGGUGAUCGGCCACACUGGAACUGAGACACGGUCCAGACUCCUACGGGAGGCAGCAGUAGGGAAUCUUCCGCAAUGGGCGAAAGCCUGACGGAGCAACGCCGCGUGAGUGAUGAAGGUCUUCGGAUCGUAAAACUCUGUUAUUAGGGAAGAACAAAUGUGUAAGUAACUGUGCACGUCUUGACGGUACCUAAUCAGAAAGCCACGGCUAACUACGUGCCAGCAGCCGCGGUAAUACGUAGGUGGCAAGCGUUAUCCGGAAUUAUUGGGCGUAAAGCGCGCGUAGGCGGUUUCUUAAGUCUGAUGUGAAAGCCCACGGCUCAACCGUGGAGGGUCAUUGGAAACUGGGAAACUUGAGUGCAGAAGAGGAAAGUGGAAUUCCAUGUGUAGCGGUGAAAUGCGCAGAGAUAUGGAGGAACACCAGUGGCGAAGGCGACUUUCUGGUCUGUAACUGACGCUGAU
This 746-nucleotide ribosomal RNA is filed under the name Staphylococcus nepalensis. Its description in RNAcentral is "bacterial SSU rRNA". It matches the Rfam family "Bacterial small subunit ribosomal RNA", at positions 22 to 750 of the family's 1533-position model. Lineage: Bacteria; Bacillati; Bacillota; Bacilli; Caryophanales; Staphylococcaceae. The record is from RNAcentral.